RNAcentral lists this ribosomal RNA (254 nucleotides) under uncultured bacterium. RNAcentral describes it as "partial 16S ribosomal RNA". It matches the Rfam family "Bacterial small subunit ribosomal RNA", at positions 524 to 776 of the family's 1533-position model. The record is from RNAcentral.
CACGUAGGGCGCAAGCGUUUGUCCGGAAUUAUUGGGCGUAAAGAGCUACGUAGGUGGUUUGUUACGUCGCUGUGAAAACCUAGGGCUUAACCCUGGGCUUGCAGUGGAUACGGGCAGACUAGAGGUAGGUAGGGGAGAACGGAAUUCCUGGUGUAGCGGUGAAAUGGCGCAGAUAUCAGGAGGAACACCGAUGGCGAAGGCAGGUCUCUGGGCCACUACUGACGCUGAGAAGCGAAAGCAUGGGAGCGAACAGG